Molecule: long non-coding RNA, 640 nt
Filed under: Ananas comosus (pineapple)
Lineage: Eukaryota; Viridiplantae; Streptophyta; Magnoliopsida; Poales; Bromeliaceae
Description: long non-coding RNA (ACOM_LNC020624)
Source: RNAcentral
AANUAUUAAGCGCUUGAUGCUACCGAGUUUUUCACCAUUAAAUCUACACCUUUAAUCAUUUUCAUCCAUUAGAUCAUGUUAUUCAACAAACCAUUCGCUCAACCCUAGAAGACUAUUAUCACCUUGAUUGCAUAUCCUUUAAUACAAGGGUCAAAAAUCUAAUAGUAUCAAUAACUUUGUGCUAUUAAUAGUAUUCUACUCUAAUUCAAUAUAUAAUUUAUCAGGUUAAAUGCAUACAGAUACCUGUAAACAUAGUGAUUUGCAAAUAUAUCUUUACAAAGUUCAAUUUUCAUAUAUUAUUCCUGUAAAAAUUCUAAUGUUUUCAAAUAUAUUUUUCUAGUUUGUUACUGUUAGAGAACUAUUUAUAUUUUCAAUUUUGUCAUCACAAAUAUGUCGCUCCAAAAGACACAACAAUAUAAUAUAAGAUGGAUAAAAAUAUCAAGUUAUGUAAUAAACUAACAAGGUUAAGUAUUUAAUAUAUAGUUAAGUAAAUUUUUCUAACGAAUUCUAAUAACAUGAAUUUAUUUAAAAAUAUUAAAAUUUUUACAGAAAUAAUAUAUAAAAAUUUAAUUUUAUCGACAUAUAUUUAUAAAUUAAUAUAUUUGUAGGAACCUAUACACAACUAACCCACAGAUCACCA